UCCCACUCCCUCCUUCCCUGCCUUCUCUCUUCCUCUUCUUUUUGUCCCAGACCUGUCAUUUCACUGGUACAGGUAAAUGUCGAUGAAGACACUUCCUCUCCGGAUGCAGGUCAGUAACUCUUCGGUGACCGAUAGUCUUAGAAAGCUGUCUGAGGGCACUGAGAGAGAAAUCCAGGUGGCCCAGUGCGGAUGUGUCAUCGGUAGGACUUGCACCCAGAUCUCACUGGCCCUGAGGACAGCUCUGUGUCUACCCCCUUAUACUCCCCACCCAGCAGUAUGCCCUGGGUACUUCCUAAGUGUUUCUUAACUUCUGACCGCUGGCCCAGGGGCACCGAUAAAAUCCUCGGCUGAGCUGUGCCCCGGCCAGCCAGCCAGCCAGCGGGGGCCCUCUCACCGCUUUGGCUUCCUGCUCAACAGACUCGGGACGGGGUGUGGCCCUUGAGGAUGGACGCGCUGGCAGUGACAUUGUCAGCAGAGCCCGCCACUCUGUGGAAAUCCGAAUGGCGCUUUCCUGUGGGCCAUCGACGCUCUAAUGAUCACUUGGAGCUCCAGGACAGAUGUCUGCCAUUCCUGGGCUCAGUGGCUUUCGGAAAAGCCUUUUUGUUUUGGUGGCAUCAGCAGGAAAAGAGGAAAUUAGUUGGAAACGAGGCUCCGUUAAAACAAUAGUUGGAGGCGGCCGAGCUUGGAUAAACAGUCCCUGCUGCUGCCCCAGCAUCAGCAGGGGGCCUGGAGCCCCGCUCUUUGUGAUCUGACCUGAUGAGGCCAGCAGCCUGGCGCCCACGAAGGGUCUGCUCAGAAGCAUCAGCUGACGGCCGAGGCAGGGCCGGGCACCGAGCGGCUGCUCCGAGUGCCGAGCCAAUCGGUUUGAGAGAGCCCUCCAGUUCUGGCUGCCUCAGCAACCUGCAGGUCCCAGCUCUUGGGCUGGCCAGCUGCUUGGCUCUGGGCAGUGUGAGCUCAGCACGCCCGGGGCCCCCUACGAGACCCUUCGGUCCCUGCCAGCUUUUCCUGAUCAUCCUAGGAAAAAUGGGAAUGAAAUGGGACAAGACCUUCAAAGAGAGAUAA
RNAcentral lists this long non-coding RNA (1062 nucleotides) under Phascolarctos cinereus (koala). RNAcentral describes it as "lncRNA (ENSPCIG00000020761.2)". Lineage: Eukaryota; Metazoa; Chordata; Mammalia; Diprotodontia; Phascolarctidae. The record is from RNAcentral.